This 67-nucleotide transfer RNA is filed under the name Polydora hoplura. RNAcentral's name for it is "tRNA-Leu". It matches the Rfam family "tRNA". From Rfam's summary of the family: Transfer RNA (tRNA) molecules are approximately 80 nucleotides in length. Their secondary structure includes four short double-helical elements and three loops (D, anti-codon, and T loops). The record is from RNAcentral. Lineage: Eukaryota; Metazoa; Annelida; Polychaeta; Spionida; Spionidae.
GAUGUGUUGGCAGAUAAAUGCACUUGAUUUAGGCUCAAGACAUAAAGAUUCUAAUCUUUACACAUUU